GUGAGGAAUAUUGGUCAAUGGGCGGGAGCCUGAACCAGCCAAGUCGCGUGAAGGAAGAAGGAUCUAUGGUUCGUAAACUUCUUUUGCAGGGGAAUAAAGUGCAGGACGUGUCCUGUUUUGUAUGUACCCUGAGAAUAAGGAUCGGCUAACUCCGUGCCAGCAGCCGCGGUAAUACGGAGGAUCCGAGCGUUAUCCGGAUUUAUUGGGUUUAAAGGGUGCGUAGGUGGUUUGAUAAGUCAGCGGUGAAAGUUUGCAGCUUAACUGUAAAAAUGCCGUUGAAACUGUCGGAGUUGAGUGUAAAUGAGGUAGGCGGAAUGCGUGGUGUAGCGGUGAAAUGCAUAGAUAUCACGCAGAACUCCGAUUGCGAAGGCAGCUUACUAAGCUACAACUGACACUGAAGCACGAAAGCGUGGGGAUCAAACAGGAUUAGAACCCCAGUAGUCC
Molecule: ribosomal RNA, 444 nt
Filed under: uncultured bacterium
Lineage: Bacteria
Description: partial 16S ribosomal RNA
Rfam family: Bacterial small subunit ribosomal RNA
Source: RNAcentral